CCUACGGGGGGCUGCAGUGGGGAAUAUUGGACAAUGGGCGAAAGCCUGAUCCAGCCAUGCCGCGUGUGUGAAGAAGGCCUUCGGGUUGUAAAGCACUUUCAGUGGGGAAGAAAGCCUUGGGGCUAAUACCCUCGAGGAAGGACAUCACCCACAGAAGAAGCACCGGCUAACUCCGUGCCAGCAGCCGCGGUAAUACGGAGGGUGCGAGCGUUAAUCGGAAUUACUGGGCGUAAGGCGCGCGUAGGCGGUCUGAUAAGCCGGUUGUGAAAGCCCCGGGCUCAACCUGGGAACGGCAUCCGGAACUGUCAGGCUAGAGUGCAGGAGAGGAAGGUAGAAUUCCCGGUGUAGCGGUGAAAUGCGUAGAGAUCGGGAGGAAUACCAGUGGCGAAGGCGGCCUUCUGGACUGACACUGACGCUGAGGUGCGAAAGCGUGGGUAGCAAACAGGAUUAGAUACCCCGGUAGUC
Molecule: ribosomal RNA, 465 nt
Filed under: Vreelandella stevensii
Lineage: Bacteria; Pseudomonadati; Pseudomonadota; Gammaproteobacteria; Oceanospirillales; Halomonadaceae
Description: partial 16S ribosomal RNA
Rfam family: Bacterial small subunit ribosomal RNA
Source: RNAcentral